UAUGUGAUCGUCUCUCGCAUAUCAAUAAGCGGAGGAAAAGAAACUAACAAGGAUUCCCCUAGUAACGGCGAGUGAAGCGGGAAGAGCUCAAAUUUGAAAUCUUAAAGGGUUUCCCUUUACGAAUUGUAGUUUAAAGAAGUGUUUUCUGUUGAGGUUUUGGUAAAAGUUCUUUGGAAUAGGACAUCAUAGAGGGUGAGAAUCCCGUAUUUGACCUUUACUUUCAACUUUGUGAUACACUUUCAAAGAGUCGGAUUGUUUGGGAAUGCAGUCCAAAAUGGGUGGUAAAUUUCAUCUAAAGCUAAAUAUUGGCGAGAGACCGAUAGCGAACAAGUACCGUGAGGGAAAGAUGAAAAGAACUUUGAAAAGAGAGUUAAACAGUACGUGAAAUUGUCAAAAGGGAAGCGUUUGACACCAGUGUUGUUUUUCUGAAAAUCAAUUAAAGAACUGUUUAUGCUAAGUUGUUUAGACUUUAUCAGCUAACUGUUUAGUUUUGAGCUUUUCUUUAAUGCACUUUUCAGUUAACAAGUCAACAUCAAUUUCUUUUGCUGUAAAAAAGCUUGAGGAAGGUGGCUUGAGAUUCGUCUUAAGUGUUUAUAGCCUCUUGCCUAUGCAGUCGGAGAGAUUGAGGUCUGCAGCGUAGAUCCUUCGGGGCUAAAUGCAUUUGUGCUAAGUUAUAGCAUUUUAUAGACAACUUGUUGACUAUGAUUUGUCUUGUAGCUUACUCGCUUAUGUUAUUUUACCUACGCUUAGGAUGUUGACACACGCGCGUGCUCG
Molecule: ribosomal RNA, 774 nt
Filed under: uncultured Neocallimastigales
Lineage: Eukaryota; Fungi; Neocallimastigomycota; Neocallimastigomycetes; Neocallimastigales
Description: partial large subunit ribosomal RNA
Rfam family: Eukaryotic large subunit ribosomal RNA
Source: RNAcentral